UGUUACGUUUGGGAUCAAAUCUUGAUGAACAGCCCACUGUGUCUAUUCCCUCAGGAUAACCCACUACUUUAUGAUGUUGGACUAUGGCUACUAAAUAAGAAUAAGAACAAAUGUCAGGAAUCGUGAUCAGAAGCAAAAGAGCCCAGCUGCUGUGUGAAGAUGCCAUGUUGGGAGAUGUAGCACCUUGAUGGAUCUCAGGCCAUGAAUAUGAAUCGAGUCCAGUGAAUAAGCAAACAGAGUAGAUGUAAACUAAUGAUAAUACCCCAAACAUAAAGCCUGAAAAUUCAGCAAGCCAACAAUUUCGGACAUAUGAACAUUAAUUCACUUUUCUAGGUGGUAUGUUAUGAAUGUGUGUGUCUUGUAUUUCUUCUAUGCCACUCCCAAGGAUCGGAUUAUGAUGUUACGGAAGAGGUGAAAUGUUUAAAAAUGACCUUCGUGACCGGUGUGAAAUUGCUGUAUGGUACUAUGCAUACCUGGAAAACCAUACAGAGCAUCUGUGGGAGUCUUGAAAUGACAACACUACAAUCUGAGACGACAAGUUUUCUGCAGCAUACACCUUUUCUAGUCAACUUUCGUGUCUUUAGCUCCGAAGAGAGUGGUUUGCUCCCAAAAGAGAGGGAGAAUAAUCAUAGCCAAUACCCAUCAUCGUAAUAGGCUGGCACAGUAGCGGUGAUCACAAGAGAAUAUACUUCCUAAGAGGUCCUGAGCUGGUGUCAGAUAGAUAUUCACAGCCCUUAGAUGUGUUCACUUGCGGAGCACAAGGAGCCUGCGAGGAGACACAGCUCCCAGACAGACUCCUGCCUCCAUCUGCUCUGGAACCAUCAACAUAACAUAUUUAACAAGAACUAUGAGGUCCUACCACGUGCCGGGCACCAUUUUGGCUCUGUGGACACAAGAGAAAACAACACAGACGUGAUCCUGGGCCGUGUGAGUCACAAGGGAUGUAGAGAGACACAACAUAACCGGAUGAGUAAGUACAAAUUAUGUCAUCACACACUGUGAUUAGCACUAAAAUAUUAGUAAUGAUAAAGCAGGAUGUGAGAUAAGCAGGACGAGGAGAGG
This 1062-nucleotide long non-coding RNA is filed under the name Canis lupus familiaris (dog). RNAcentral describes it as "lncRNA (ENSCAFG00000054623.1, ENSCAFG00805021325.1, ENSCAFG00845024369.1)". Lineage: Eukaryota; Metazoa; Chordata; Mammalia; Carnivora; Canidae. The record is from RNAcentral.